Molecule: ribosomal RNA, 301 nt
Filed under: uncultured bacterium
Lineage: Bacteria
Description: partial 16S ribosomal RNA
Rfam family: Bacterial small subunit ribosomal RNA
Source: RNAcentral
CAGCCGCCGCGGUAAUACGGAGGGUGCAAGCGUUAAUCGGAAUUACUGGGCGUAAAGCGUGCGUAGGCGGUUCGUUAAGUCUGUUGUGAAAGCCCCGGGCUCAACCUGGGAAUGGCAAUGGAUACUGGCGAGCUAGAGUGUGUCAGAGGAUGGUGGAAUUCCCGGUGUAGCGGUGAAAUGCGUAGAGAUCGGGAGGAACAUCAGUGGCGAAGGCGGCCAUCUGGGACAACACUGACGCUGAGGCACGAAAGCGUGGGGAGCAAACAGGAUUAGAUACCCGCGUAGUCCCUGUCUCUUAUAA